GCAGUCGAGCGGAAACGAUCCUAGCUUGCUAGGAGGCGUCGAGCGGCGGACGGGUGAGUAAUGCAUAGGAAUCUGCCCGGUAGUGGGGGAUAACCUGGGGAAACCCAGGCUAAUACCGCAUACGCCCUACGGGGGAAAGCAGGGGAUCUUCGGACCUUGCGCUAUCGGAUGAGCCUAUGUCGGAUUAGCUAGUUGGUGAGGUAACGGCUCACCAAGGCUGCGAUCCGUAGCUGGUCUGAGAGGAUGAUCAGCCACAUCGGGACUGAGACACGGCCCGAACUCCUACGGGAGGCAGCAGUGGGGAAUAUUGGACAAUGGGCGAAAGCCUGAUCCAGCCAUGCCGCGUGUGUGAAGAAGGCCUUCGGGUUGUAAAGCACUUUCAGUGAGGAAGAAAGCCUUGAGGUUAAUACCCUCGAGGGAGGACAUCACUCACAGAAGAAGCACCGGCUAACUCCGUGCCAGCAGCCGCGGUAAUACGGAGGGUGCGAGCGUUAAUCGGAAUUACUGGGCGUAAAGCGCGCGUAGGCGGCUUGAUAAGCCGGUUGUGAAAGCCCCGGGCUCAACCUGGGAACGGCAUCCGGAACUGUCAGGCUAGAGUGCAGGAGAGGAAGGUAGAAUUCCCGGUGUAGCGGUGAAAUGCGUAGAGAUCGGGAGGAAUACCAGUGGCGAAGGCGGCCUUCUGGACUGACACUGACGCUGAGGUGCGAAAGCGUGGGUAGCAAACAGGAUUAGAUACCCUGGUAGUCCACGCCGUAACGAUGUCGACUAGCCGUUGGGCUCCUUGAGAGCUUUGUGGCGCAGUUAACGCGAUAAGUCGACCG
Molecule: ribosomal RNA, 821 nt
Filed under: uncultured bacterium
Lineage: Bacteria
Description: bacterial SSU rRNA
Rfam family: Bacterial small subunit ribosomal RNA
Source: RNAcentral